GACGAACGCUGGCGGCGUGCUUAACACAUGCAAGUCGAACGGAAAGGCCCUGCUUUUGUGGGGUGCUCGAGUGGCGAACGGGUGAGUAACACGUGAGUAACCUGCCCUUGACUUUGGGAUAACUUCAGGAAACUGGGGCUAAUACCGGAUAGGAGCUCCUGCUGCAUGGUGGGGGUUGGAAAGUUUCGGCGGUUGGGGAUGGACUCGCGGCUUAUCAGCUUGUUGGUGGGGUAGUGGCUUACCAAGGCUUUGACGGGUAGCCGGCCUGAGAGGGUGACCGGCCACAUUGGGACGGAGAUCCGGCCCAGACUCCGACGGGAGGCAGAAGGGGGGAAUAUUGCACAAGGGGGGGAAGCCGGAUGCAGCAACGCCGGGUGGGGGAUGACGGCCUUCGGGUUGUAAACCGCUUUCGCCGGUGACGAAGGGGGAGUGACGGUAAGGGGUAAAGAAGCACCGGCUAACUACGUG
This 468-nucleotide ribosomal RNA is filed under the name uncultured bacterium. RNAcentral's name for it is "partial 16S ribosomal RNA". It matches the Rfam family "Bacterial small subunit ribosomal RNA", at positions 28 to 507 of the family's 1533-position model. The record is from RNAcentral.